This 932-nucleotide ribosomal RNA is filed under the name uncultured Cystobasidiomycetes. RNAcentral describes it as "SSU rRNA". It matches the Rfam family "Eukaryotic small subunit ribosomal RNA", at positions 459 to 1416 of the family's 1831-position model. Lineage: Eukaryota; Fungi; Basidiomycota; Cystobasidiomycetes. The record is from RNAcentral.
GGGAGAUAGUGACAAUAAAUAACAAUGUAGGGCUCUUAUGGGUCUUAUAAUUGGAAUGAGUACAAUUUAAAUCCCUUAACGAGGAUCAAUUGGAGGGCAAGUCUGGUGCCAGCAGCCGCGGUAAUUCCAGCUCCAAUAGCGUAUACUAAAAUUGUUGCCGUUAAAAAGCUCGUAGUCGAACUUCGGCCUUUGCCGCCCGGUCCGCCUUUUUGGUGUGUACUGGAGCGGUGGAGGCCUACUUCGUGGUGAACGGCCAUGCUCUUUACUGGGUGUGGUCGGGAACCAUGACUUUUACCUUGAAAAAAUUAGAGUGUUCAAAGCAGGCUUACGCCCGAAUACAUUAGCAUGGAAUAAUAAAAUAAGACGUGCGUUCUUAUUUUGUUGGUUUCUAGGAUCGCCGUAAUGAUUAAUAGGGAUAGUUGGGGGCAUUCGUAUUCAAUCGCUAGAGGUGAAAUUCUUGGAUUGAUUGAAGACGAACUACUGCGAAAGCAUUUGCCAAGGAUGUUUUCAUUGAUCAAGAACGAAGGUUAGGGGAUCGAAAACGAUCAGAUACCGUUGUAGUCUUAACAGUAAACGAUGCCGACUAGGGAUCGGACGAGGAUUUUUAAUGACUCGUUCGGCACCUGAAGAGAAAUCUUUAAGUCUAGGUUCGGGGGGGAGUAUGGUCGCAAGGCUGAAACUUAAAGGAAUUGACGGAAGGGCACCNCCAUGGUGUGGAGCCUGCGGCUUAAUUUGACUCAACACGGGGAAACUCACCAGGUCCAGACACGACAAGGAUUGACAGAUUGAUAGCUCUUUCUUGAUUUCGUGGUUGGUGGUGCAUGGCCGUUCUUAGUUGGUGGAGUGAUUUGUCUGGUUAAUUCCGAUAACGAACGAGACCUUAACCUGCUAAAUAGCCCGGCCGACUUUGGUUGGUCGCUGGCUUCUUAGAG